CGGGGCGUAGCGCAGUCUGGUAGCGCAUCUGGUUUGGGACCAGAGGGUCGUAGGUUCAAAUCCUAUCGCCCCGA
RNAcentral lists this transfer RNA (74 nucleotides) under Rhodobacter ferrooxidans. RNAcentral's name for it is "Rhodobacter sp. SW2 tRNA". It matches the Rfam family "tRNA". From Rfam's summary of the family: Transfer RNA (tRNA) molecules are approximately 80 nucleotides in length. Their secondary structure includes four short double-helical elements and three loops (D, anti-codon, and T loops). Lineage: Bacteria; Pseudomonadati; Pseudomonadota; Alphaproteobacteria; Rhodobacterales. The record is from Rfam by way of RNAcentral.